UACAGAGGUGGCAAGCGUUGUUCGGAAUUACUGGGCGUAAAGGGCGCGUAGGCGGCCAUCUAAGUCAGACGUGAAAUCCCCCGGCUUAACCUGGGAACUGCGUCUGAUACUGGAAGGCUUGAGUAUGGGAGAGGGAUGUAGAAUUCCAGGUGUAGCGGUGAAAUGCGUAGAUAUCUGGAGGAAUACCGGUGGCGAAGGCGGGUCUCUGGACAGUUCCUGACGCUGAGGCACGAAGGUCAGGGGAGCAAACGGG
RNAcentral lists this ribosomal RNA (253 nucleotides) under uncultured bacterium. RNAcentral's name for it is "partial 16S ribosomal RNA". It matches the Rfam family "Bacterial small subunit ribosomal RNA", at positions 524 to 776 of the family's 1533-position model. The record is from RNAcentral.